GGGAAACUGCCUGAUGGAGGGGGAUAACUACUGGAAACGGUAGCUAAUACCGCAUGACCUCGCAAGAGCAAAGUGGGGGACCUUCGGGCCUCACGCCAUCGGAUGUGCCCAGAUGGGAUUAGCUAGUAGGUGAGGUAAUGGCUCACCUAGGCGACGAUCCCUAGCUGGUCUGAGAGGAUGACCAGCCACACUGGAACUGAGACACGGUCCAGACUCCUACGGGAGGCAGCAGUGGGGAAUAUUGCACGAUGGGCGCAAGCCUGAUGCAGCCAUGCCGCGUGUGUGAAGAAGGCCUUAGGGUUGUAAAGCACUUUCAGCGAGGAGGAAGGGUUCAGUGUUAAUAGCACUGUGCAUUGACGUUACUCGCAGAAGAAGCACCGGCUAACCCCGUGCCAGCAGCCGCGGUAAUACGGAGGGUGCAAGCGUUAAUCGGAAUUACUGGGCGUAAAGCGCACGCAGGCGGUUUGUUAAGUCAGAUGUGAAAUCCCCGAGCUUAACUUGGGAACUGCAUUUGAAACUGGCAAGCUAGAGUCUUGUAGAGGGGGGUAGAAUUCCAGGU
RNAcentral lists this ribosomal RNA (559 nucleotides) under uncultured bacterium. Its description in RNAcentral is "bacterial SSU rRNA". It matches the Rfam family "Bacterial small subunit ribosomal RNA", at positions 120 to 674 of the family's 1533-position model. The record is from RNAcentral.